This 468-nucleotide ribosomal RNA is filed under the name uncultured bacterium. RNAcentral describes it as "partial 16S ribosomal RNA". It matches the Rfam family "Bacterial small subunit ribosomal RNA", at positions 28 to 507 of the family's 1533-position model. The record is from RNAcentral.
GACGAACGCUGGCGGCGUGCUUAACACAUGCAAGUCGAACGGAAAGGCCCUGCUUUUGUGGGGUGCUCGAGUGGCGAACGGGUGAGUAACACGUGAGUAACCUGCCCUUGACUUUGGGAUAACUUCAGGAAACUGGGGUUAAUACCGGAUAUGAGCUCCUGCUGCAUGGUGGGGGUUGGAAAGUUUCGGCGGGUGGGGAUGGACUCGCGGCUUAUCAGCUUGUUGGUGGGGUAGUGGCUUACCAAGGCUUUGACGGGUAGCCGGCCUGAGAGGGUGACCGGCCACAUAGGGACUGACAUGCGGCCCAGAAACGUACGGAAAGAAGAAGUGGGGAUUGUUGAAAAAAAAACGGACACCUGAGGCAGCAACCCCGCGUGAGGGAUGACGGCCUUCGGGUAGGGAACCGCUUUCGCCUGUGACGAAGAGUGGGUACCAAUAGGGGAUAAAGAUACACCGGCUAACAACGUG